Molecule: ribosomal RNA, 434 nt
Filed under: Bacillus sp. BA-102
Lineage: Bacteria; Bacillati; Bacillota; Bacilli; Caryophanales; Bacillaceae
Description: bacterial SSU rRNA
Rfam family: Bacterial small subunit ribosomal RNA
Source: RNAcentral
AGUCGAGCGAAUCGAUUGGGAGCUUGCUCCCUGAGAUUAGCGGCGGACGGGUGAGUAACACGUGGGCAACCUGCCUAUAAGACUGGGAUAACUUCGGGAAACCGGAGCUAAUACCGGAUACGUUCUUUUCUCGCAUGAGAGAAGAUGGAAAGACGGUUUACGCUGUCACUUAUAGAUGGGCCCGCGGCGCAUUAGCUAGUUGGUGAGGUAAUGGCUCACCAAGGCGACGAUGCGUAGCCGACCUGAGAGGGUGAUCGGCCACACUGGGACUGAGACACGGCCCAGACUCCUACGGGAGGCAGCAGUAGGGAAUCUUCCGCAAUGGACGAAAGUCUGACGGAGCAACGCCGCGUGAACGAAGAAGGCCUUCGGGUCGUAAAGUUCUGUUGUUAGGGAAGAACAAGUACCAGAGUAACUGCUGGUACCUUGACGGU